Molecule: ribosomal RNA, 1251 nt
Filed under: Streptomyces xinghaiensis
Lineage: Bacteria; Bacillati; Actinomycetota; Actinomycetes; Kitasatosporales; Streptomycetaceae
Description: bacterial SSU rRNA
Rfam family: Bacterial small subunit ribosomal RNA
Source: RNAcentral
AACCUCUUCGGAGGGGAUUAGUGGCGAACGGGUGAGUAACACGUGGGCAAUCUGCCCUGCACUCUGGGACAAGCCCUGGAAACGGGGUCUAAUACCGGAUACGACCAUCUCGGGCAUCCGAUGGUGGUGGAAAGCUCCGGCGGUGCAGGAUGAGCCCGCGGCCUAUCAGCUUGUUGGUGGGGUGAUGGCCUACCAAGGCGACGACGGGUAGCCGGCCUGAGAGGGCGACCGGCCACACUGGGACUGAGACACGGCCCAGACUCCUACGGGAGGCAGCAGUGGGGAAUAUUGCACAAUGGGCGGAAGCCUGAUGCAGCGACGCCGCGUGAGGGAUGACGGCCUUCGGGUUGUAAACCUCUUUCAGCAGGGAAGAAGCGCGAGUGACGGUACCUGCAGAAGAAGCACCGGCUAACUACGUGCCAGCAGCCGCGGUAAUACGUAGGGUGCGAGCGUUGUCCGGAAUUAUUGGGCGUAAAGAGCUCGUAGGCGGCUUGUCGCGUCGGAUGUGAAAGCCCGGGGCUUAACCCCGGGUCUGCAUUCGAUACGGGCAGGCUAGAGUUCGGUAGGGGAGGUCGGAAUUCCUGGUGUAGCGGUGAAAUGCGCAGAUAUCAGGAGGAACACCGGUGGCGAAGGCGGAUCUCUGGGCCGAUACUGACGCUGAGGAGCGAAAGCGUGGGGAGCGAACAGGAUUAGAUACCCUGGUAGUCCACGCCGUAAACGUUGGGAACUAGGUGUGGGCGACAUUCCACGUCGUCCGUGCCGCAGCUAACGCAUUAAGUUCCCCGCCUGGGUAGUACGGCCGCAAGGCUAAAACUCAAGGAAUUGACGGGGGCCCGCACAAGCGGCGGAGCAUGUGGCUUAUUCGACGCAACGCGAAGAACCUUACCAAGGCUUGACAUACACCGGAAAGCCGUAGAGAUACGGUCCCCCUUGUGGUCGUGUACAGGUGGUGCAUGCUGUCGUCAGCUCGUGUCGUGAGGUAAACCUCUUUCAGCAGGGAAGAAGCGCGAGUGACGGUACCUGCAGAAGAAGCACCGGCUAACUACGUGCCAGCAGCCGCGGUAAUACGUAGGGUGCGAGCGUUGUCCGGAAUUAUUGGGCGUAAAGAGCUCGUAGGCGGCUUGUCGCGUCGGAUGUGAAAGCCCGCUGGGACUGAGACACGGCCCAGACUCCUACGGGAGGCAGCAGUGGGGAAUAUUGCACAAUGGGCGGAAGCCUGAUGCAGCGACGCCGCGUGAGGGAUGACGGCCU